GAAGGUAGCGUAAUCACUUGUUCUUUAAAUAAGGACUAGUAUGAAUGGCACCACGAGGGUUACACUGUCUCCUUUUUCUAAUCAGUGAAACUAAUCUCCCCGUGAAGAAGCUGGGAUUUUUUUAUAAGACGAGAAGACCCUAUGGAGCUUUAAACUAAUUAAUAUUUGCUGUCCACAUUUUACAUUUCAGAAACCUACAUAAAACAUAGCACUCUAAUUAAUAGUUUUCGAUUGGGGUGAUCACGGAGUAAAAAACAACCUCCGUGCCGAAAGGGGCCUAUUCCCCUGAGCAAAAAGCUACGACUUUAAGCACUAAAAAAUUAACGUUUAUUGACCCAAUAUAUUGAUCAACGAACCAAGUUACCCUAGGGAUAACAGCGCAAUCCACUUCAAGAGCUCCUAUCGACAAGUGGGUUUACGACCUCGAUGUUGGAUCAGGG
This 440-nucleotide ribosomal RNA is filed under the name Boana lundii (Brazilian treefrog). Its description in RNAcentral is "partial large subunit ribosomal RNA". It matches the Rfam family "Bacterial large subunit ribosomal RNA", at positions 1952 to 2542 of the family's 2925-position model. The record is from RNAcentral. Lineage: Eukaryota; Metazoa; Chordata; Amphibia; Anura; Hylidae.